GCCCCGUUGGCACAAUUGGUCAGCGCGUGAGACUUUUAAUCUCAAGGUUGUGAGUUCGAGCCUCACACGGGGCG
Molecule: transfer RNA, 74 nt
Filed under: Aspergillus aculeatus ATCC 16872
Lineage: Eukaryota; Fungi; Ascomycota; Eurotiomycetes; Eurotiales; Aspergillaceae
Also listed under: 9 other names
Rfam family: tRNA
About the family: Transfer RNA (tRNA) molecules are approximately 80 nucleotides in length. Their secondary structure includes four short double-helical elements and three loops (D, anti-codon, and T loops).
Source: Rfam by way of RNAcentral